UUGACCUCAAAUCAGGUAGGACUACCCGCUGAACUUAAGCAUAUCAAUAAGCGGAGGAAAAGAAACUAACAAGGAUUCCCCUAGUAACUGCGAGUGAAGCGGGAAAAGCUCAAAUUUAAAAUCUGGCGGUCUCUGGCCGUCCGAGUUGUAAUCUAGAGAAGUGUUAUCCGCGCUGGACCGUGUACAAGUCUCCUGGAAUGGAGCGUCAUAGAGGGUGAGAAUCCCGUCUUUGACACGGACUGCCAGGGCUUUGUGAUGCGCUCUCAAAGAGUCGAGUUGUUUGGGAAUGCAGCUCAAAAUGGGUGGUAAAUUCCAUCUAAAGCUAAAUAUUGGCGAGAGACCGAUAGCGAAC
Molecule: ribosomal RNA, 352 nt
Filed under: uncultured Hebeloma
Lineage: Eukaryota; Fungi; Basidiomycota; Agaricomycetes; Agaricales; Cortinariaceae
Description: eukaryotic LSU rRNA
Rfam family: Eukaryotic large subunit ribosomal RNA
Source: RNAcentral